GAGUCCUGCUUCCACAUUUACUAGCUGAUAUUCGUGAAGCUCUACUAAUGCAUCCUAUCUGGGAUAGUCAUAAUGCUCUGCUAGAGUCUCUCCUCUGUAAAUAUCAGGAUUUAGCAGUUUGUCCGCCUAUAAGAACCGUGAGGCUCCACCAGUCGUCCCUCUCUGGAAGUAUCACGAUUAUGUGUCAUUGUGUCACAUCCAUAAACACUGUUUUCCAAAGCUUUGUUAUGUGAUUGACCAGCAGGAAGUGGUUGUGAAUUUUGAGGCCAAGCUAAUGGCAGCAAUGGAGUUGUAACUACAUCGCUUUUCAGCAGAUGUGGAUGUGAGUGGUACCUAGGCUCUUCCAUCCACUUAGUUUGUCGAACAUGUUCAGGCUGUCUACUUUUAUCCAUGCGCCGCCCCUUAGUUAAAC
Molecule: unclassified non-coding RNA, 412 nt
Filed under: Hevea brasiliensis (rubber tree)
Lineage: Eukaryota; Viridiplantae; Streptophyta; Magnoliopsida; Malpighiales; Euphorbiaceae
Source: RNAcentral